RNAcentral lists this ribosomal RNA (823 nucleotides) under uncultured archaeon. RNAcentral's name for it is "partial 16S ribosomal RNA". The record is from RNAcentral.
AAGUUUCAGCCUUGCGGCCGUACUUCCCAGGUGGCUCGCUUCACGGCUUCCCUACGGCACCGACAACGGUCGCACCGUGGCCGACACCUAGCGAGUAUCGUUUACGGCUAGGACUACCCGGGUAUCUAAUCCGGUUCGUGCCCCUAGCUUUCGUCCCUUGCCGUCAGGUCCGUUCUGGUGAGACGCCUUCGCCACUGGUGGUCCUUCAAGGAUUACAAGAUUUCACCCCUACCCCUGAAGUACCUCUCACCUCUCCCGGCCUCGAGCCGAACAGUAUCUCCUGAAAGCCCAACAGUUGAGCUGCUGGAUUUCUCAAGAGACUUAUCCGGCCGGCUACAGACCCUUUAGACCCAAUAAUAACGGUUACCACUCGAGCCGCCGGUGUUACCGCGGCGGCUGGCACCGGUCUUGCCCGGCCCUUGCUAUGCAAUGCUUUUUAGGCAUCACGACAGCCAGAUUUGUAACCUGGCACUCGAGGUCCCCUUAUCGCCGUUGCCGGCAUUGUAAAGUUUUCGCGCCUGCUGCACCCCGUAGGGCCUGGAUUCGUGUCUCAGAAUCCAUCUCCGGGCUCUUGCUCUCACAACCCGUACCCGUCGUAGGCUAGUAGGUACGCUACACCCACUACUACCUGAUAGGCCGCAGACCCAUCCUCUGGCGCCGGAGCUUUCGAUCUCGGGGCAUUCCAGCGACCGAGAUCUAUCGGGGAUUAUACCCAGUUUCCCGGGUUUAUACCCGUCCGGAGGGUAGGUUGUCCACGUGUUACUGAGCAGUACGCCAUGUAUGCUACAUUCGACUCGCAUGGCUUAGUCGAACCUCGAUAGCA